Cyprinus carpio carpio is the source of this 4171-nucleotide long non-coding RNA. NCBI's taxonomy places the organism in Eukaryota, Metazoa, Chordata, Actinopteri, Cypriniformes, Cyprinidae. The record is from Ensembl.
AAUCGCAAUAAGCUUUGUGCUCUAUUACCUUUAAUAAAAAAAAAAAUCAGUUUUAAAUUCUGCCAAAUUCAUAACGGAAUGUGUUCCUGAUCUCCAGUGAGAGCUCAUUAUGAAGUAGCUUGGCUAACUGUGCUCCAGUGAGAGCAGCACAGAGCUCAAGCCUAGGCAUUGAUUGUUGCCUUUUUGAGGAUACUCUAGAUCUGGCAUGGAGGAAUGCCAACUCAACCUGUCCUUGGUGUUCAGUACAGAAGUAUGCAGCUGACCUGUAGGCUGCCUCGGAGGCGUCACAGAAGAUGUGGAUUUCUCGUUUCACCUCUGGAACAUCUAGUGCAGCUGAUACAUAACACCGAGGCAUGGUGAUCAGUGGUAGAUGCUCCAGUUCAGUUUUCCAUCUUUGCCAGGCCUGCAGCUGUUCAUAAGGAAGAAUGGGGUCGUUGUGACCUUACUACCAUCUUUUCAUUGCGAUAAGGCAGGAUGUCCAUCUGCCAUAACCUUUCAACUUGCCGAUACAGUUCAGCAGUUACAUGGUAAGCAGUUAGAUGUGAACAGACACUGUGAGACUGGGAGUUGAUCUUGGAGAUGUUUGGAGGGACCUUGCAAGGUCCAGCCAAGGCGAGUUCUGACAGCUGCUGGACCCCCAGGUGGACCCAGUUACACUGGUUCAGUUGAGGUGAUGAGCUCAGUGUAAUCUGAACCAAUAAGCAGUAGGGGACAAGCUUUGACCAGAGGUGGUAUGGGAAUCCCUCUGAGGUGUCUAUACCUUUCCUGCAGGAUACUCAAUGUGUAGGUAUAUUCUGCUAGUCCGAAUUGGUCUGCGGUAAAGGCUCCAUGAGUACUGAACCUAACCCUGGGGUUACUUGGGAUGGAUAGGUUGAAGGUUACAGAAAUUCCAUGUAAUGUCCUGAUGUCUUGAUUCACCGUCCAUAAAUUCAUUUGUUCUGGCUUGUCUUUUAGACCAAGAUGCAGUGCAGCUGUGGUGAGUACAAUGGUGCACUAUGAGCCACCUUUGAGUACAGCAAAGGUAUCUGUUGGUAAUGGAUGGUAACCUUAAUGACUUUCAGGAACACUUUUCCACCGCAAUGAGAUUGGUCCAAAUAGAUAGUCUCUGUGGUGAAGUCGAAUAAGCUACUGCUUCCAUUGGUGACCUCACCUUUCCUUUGGUUCAUGUUGUGGACUACUGAGAGGUGUUAGCUUGGCAAAGGUGGCAAGGCCUCUUUAGAUCACAGUCUUUGGCCACGUGGGAUCAUUCACAUUUGCAGCUCUGUUUAUUGUCUUUGAACCAACCAAUCAUUUGCUCCUUGGUUAAUGCUGUAAAUGUGGUACACUGGCUGAGGUAAUAUUCUGCACUGCAGUAUGGGCAGAAAACUUUGGGCUUGGUAGAUACUUAAUUUGGGGUAAACUACCCUGGACUUGGUUGUUGGUUCUAUGGCCUUCCUUUGUUCUGUGUCAUGCAGUAUGGUGGUUUGUUUGCUUUGUCCCUGGAUUGCAGCUCUUUGAUCUUAUUUUGUGGCUCUUGUCUCAUCAGUCGGAUCAAACUCCAUACAGUUGGCUUCCAGCUGCAGCCAAUCUGCAAACUCGAGGGAGAACUUAGUCUUAUCUGGGUUUCUUUUGUCGUGAUGCCUCCUAAAUUUGGUUUGUUGUGGAUGAGAAAGACGGUUUAAAAGACCUGCUGUGCAGUUCUUCAGUACAAACCCUCUGUGAACAUGCCGAUCAUGACUUGGACUCUGAGAGAGAAGUCGCUGAAUGCCCGCUCAUCACCGGCACGGAUAGGCACACUCUAAAAAAUGCUGGGUUAUUUUUUCAACCCAAAUGCUGGGUUGAGACCGUUGGGUAGGACGUUGGGUUGUUUUAACCCAAUUUUGGGUUGAAAAUUGGUCUUGAUCAUAAUCCAGCGGCGCUGGGUUGGGAACACGUAUGUGAAGCCGCCAUUUUCUCAGCGUGAAAGAAGCGAAAAGCGAGCGAAAGACAUUAUGGUAAGUAAAGAUUAAAAAUGUAAAGUUAUCAUUCAUUGUUUAUGUCUGGGAGUAUUUUGAGGUUUCAUGGAAGGUGGAAUUAAAAGAGCUUAUAUCGAAAAAUACACGGACACGGUUUUCGCCUUAGAAACGGAGGUCUUAAAGGCCUCUUUUACUGAACAGAAGAGGUUCUUUUAAUAUAAUGUCUGUGAGUGUCUUAUGUCAUAUUUACAUAAGAUUUUACAGUAUCUGCACUUUUUGAGGUGUUAAUAAAUGGUUAUUAACACAUUUUCAUGUUAAUUUGUUAUUUUUUGCGGUUAAACUGAAUGUAACGUCUCCUGCCUGUUUACUUCACAUGUUGAUGCAACAAUAGUGUGAUUAUGUGCUCAUAUUUCAUGAAAACUAUUGUUGUCUGUGUUUUACAUUGCAGAACUCAAACCAACUUUGGAGUUGUCUGAUUUGGAGAGUCAUCAUUCUUGGUCUUCCUUUCUUAAAGGAAUAGUUCACACAAAAAAUCAUUGACUUGCCUUUUAUGUCAUUCCAAACCUAUAAGACUUUUGUCUGUCUUUAGAAAACAAAUUAAUAUUUUAAAUUUUCUCAUAAUUUAGUUAAUUAAUGCAUUAAAGUUAAUCCAUUGAGAGUCUUAAUAAUCUGAAUUUUCAAGCCUCAUAAAUACAGAGUUAUUGUAGAAGUAAUCCAUUUCGAUAUUUAUACAUGAAUAAAUCUUAAAUUAUAUGAUAGCGAACAUGUCUGUUCAGAAGAAAAUAUUGGUCUCCCAGACUUGCAUUGGAGGACAAAAAUUAAGAGAAUAUUAAAUAUUUAUUUGUGUUCCAAAAAUUAGCAGAGUUUGUAUGGGUCUGGAACAACGGGGGAGAGUAAAUUAUGACCAUUUUCAUUUUUUGGUGAACUAACCCUUUAAAGAGCAGCCCUCCACGUACAUGAAAAUUUGUGAGGUAUGUGAAUGUCAUGUCUGUUUUAAUGUUUCAGUUAAGAAGUAGGUUUCUGAAAGCAAUAUUUAUUUAAACAAUAUUAAAUGCCCUCACACUAGUGCUGCCAUUAUAGCAUUCUGGAGCGCUGUGAUAGACAGAGACAUUAAACAACCACUCAAAGUGUUGAAAUUAUAAAACAGACUAUUUACCUAUCCUUACUGAUGUGAAUACACCUCUACCUGAAAAUGGAUAGAGUUUAAUUAAACGUUUUCUUUUUAGGCCACUGCUGAAGAGCAGGCGGUGACUGGGAUGAAUGCUGGUCAGAGAAGAGAAUGUCCUUUCCCCUAAACUGAUGCAACAGUGGUUUUAAAGGAGGACGCUGCCCUGGAUGAUGUAACAUGCUGUGCUGAUGGGGCUUCUUCAUAACUACAUCAAUUAUGCUAAAGAGAUCAUGAAAAUUGACAGUGAUGCAUAAUCUGUAUUCAUGGACUAUGAUACAAACUGUAAGUGUAUAAUUUGUAAAAAAAUAAAAAUAAAAUUAAAUGCUUGUUCUGUGUUGUUUAGUAGAAAUGGUGUUUACAUUCUGUCAUUCAUACACAUGCUCACAUUCUUUCACACUCACAUGCAUCUGUCAAAUGUUAUAAUAUCAGUGUUAAUGUUGUGGUUUGUGUACUGUCAUGCCAGAAUAUUUUGUAAAGAACUUAACUUAAGUAAUUGUACAAUUAUUGUAUAAUAGUGUUUUUGUAUAUUUUUUUACAAUACAUAAAAUUUACCAAAAAAGUCAAAUUUGAUCUUAAAAGUUCUAUUCAACAAAUGUUCAAUGCUUUAUUUAUAAACUAUGUAGCUGUUAAUGCCAUACUUUUCUGCAUUUCUUCUUACGUGUUACUUUUUGACUGUUUUCUCUUGUUUUUAAUAAAUAUUUACCUUUUGAUAGUUAUUCUUGUGUAUUAAAGUGAUUUUAAAAUGAACAAGAUUUGUAGGUUUAAUACCUAGCUCGAUUUGGGUUCAUUUUAGCCUAGCCUAGCAAUGUCGUAAUUUUAAACCAUAAAAAAGCAACCCAGCAUGCUUGGUUAAACAUAAUAACCCAACUUGUUGGGUUAAAAUAACCCAGCGCUGGGUUCAGUGUGGUACUGUAGGUUCUACAAAGCCUCAAUUUUCCCCAGCACAAACUGGUAGGCCAACCAUAAUUUCUGUCAAGGGCUUGUGGGGCAUUAAUGUAAGGCGUGACUGACUCUGCAUAUGCUAAGACAACUCUGUGAGCAUUAGGCAUGCCUAAUGCUCACAGAGUUG